GGUGAGGUGCCUGAGAGGCCGAAAGGAACAGUUUGCUAAACUGUCGUACGAGUAAUCGUACCGUGGGUUCGAAUCCCACCAUCACCG
Molecule: transfer RNA, 87 nt
Filed under: Bacteroidota bacterium
Lineage: Bacteria; Pseudomonadati; Bacteroidota
Description: Bacteroidetes bacterium tRNA-Ser
Rfam family: tRNA
About the family: Transfer RNA (tRNA) molecules are approximately 80 nucleotides in length. Their secondary structure includes four short double-helical elements and three loops (D, anti-codon, and T loops).
Source: RNAcentral